UAUAUAUAUAUAUAUAUAUAUAUUUAAGCAGGUUUUAGAAGGGGGGUACUGUUGUCCAGUGGAGAUGGGGAUGACAGUACUAUGUAGUAGAGUAGCGGCUGUCAAGCAAAAGAAGCAGGGAAAUGGAUUUCUGUUUUUCUGAAUUCAGAGAUUAUUUCUGUAAAAUCAUAAGGAAAGACUAAUGCUACUUUUGUAUGAGAUGUGUUGUUCAGCUUGUUCUCCGUAUACGCAGAAAAACUAGGGUGGUUCUGUGCAGUCAAGAAUACCAAUAAAUCUACUGCUUGAAAAGAAAAGAAAAAAAGCUUUUGGAAACAACUGGUGCUUCUUGACUGUCCUGGAGUUUUCAGCAACUUCAGUAGUGUGUGUGAGCUCAAAGCUCUGCUUUUUUUGCUCUUGAGGGUGCAUAUGUACACUGAUCAGUUCCCUGACAAACCUUUAAGUCCAUCAUAUUGCAAUACUCAAAUGUGGCCAUUGGUAUGUGAUGAAAAACCCAGCUUGAUGUGGUUGCUUAUGCCAAAGGGGUGACUGGAUGCUCUGCGUGUGAAGCACUGAAUUUGGCAGCCCAGCAUGUGAGCAAAUGCUUCUGAUCACCACGUGGGAGUUUGUGCCAGUCACAGGCACAAACAGGAGCAGAUGGGCUACGUGUGCUGCUAGAAACAGGUCUGUCACAAUGGGAAGUGGAACUGAAGCCAAGCAG
Molecule: long non-coding RNA, 697 nt
Organism: Pezoporus flaviventris
Lineage: Eukaryota; Metazoa; Chordata; Aves; Psittaciformes; Psittacidae
Exons: 2
Source: RefSeq, a predicted model, not a curated record